This 1302-nucleotide ribosomal RNA is filed under the name metagenome. RNAcentral describes it as "bacterial LSU rRNA". It matches the Rfam family "Bacterial large subunit ribosomal RNA", at positions 1635 to 2925 of the family's 2925-position model. The record is from RNAcentral.
UACACGACCGUACCGCAAACCGACACUGGUGCGCGAGAUGAGUAUUCUAAGGCGCUUGAGAGAACUCAGGGGAAGGAACUCGGCAAAUUGACACCGUAACUUCGGAAGAAGGUGUGCCUUUAGUAGGUGAAGUCCCUCGCGGAUGGAGCCCAAUGAGGUUGCAAAAAAUCGGUGGCUGCGACUGUUUAUUAAAAACACAGCACUCUGCAAACACGAAAGUGGACGUAUAGGGUGUGACGCCUGCCCGGUGCUGGAAGAUUAAAUGAUGGGGUGCAAGCUCUUGAUUGAAGUCCCAGUAAACGGCGGCCGUAACGAUAACGGUCCUAAGGUAGCGAAAUUCCUUGUCGGGUAAGUUCCGACCUGCACGAAUGGCGUAACGAUGGCCACACUGUCUCCUCCUGAGACUCAGCGAAGUUGAAAUGUUUGUGAUGAUGCAAUCUCCCCGCGGAAAGACGGAAAGACCCCAUGAACCUUUACUGUAGCUUUGUAUUGGACUUUGAACAGAUCUGUGUAGGAUAGGUGGGAGGCUUUGAAGUAGGGUCGCUAGAUCUUAUGGAGCCAACGUUGAAAUACCACCCUGGUGUGUUUGAGGUUCUAACCUAGGUCCAUUAUCUGGAUCGGGGACAGUGCAUGGUAGGCAGUUUGACUGGGGCGGUCUCCUCCCAAAGCGUAACGGAGGAGUUCGAAGGUACGCUAGUUACGGUCGGACAUCGUGAUGAUAGUGCAAUGGCAUAAGCGUGCUUAACUGCGAGACUGACAAGUCGAGCAGAUGCGAAAGCAGGACAUAGUGAUCCGGUGGUUCUGUAUGUAAGGGCCAUCGCUCAACGGAUAAAAGGUACUCUGGGGAUAACAGGCUGAUACCGCCCAAGAGUUCAUAUCGACGGCGGUGUUUGGCACCUCGAUGUCGGCUCAUCUCAUCCUGGGGCUGUAGCCGGUCCCAAGGGUAUGGCUGUUCGCCAUUUAAAGAGGUACGUGAGCUGGGUUUAAAACGUCGUGAGACAGUUUGGUCCCUAUCUUCCGUGGGCGCUGCAGAUUUGAGGAAGCCUGCUCCUAGUACGAGAGGACCGGAGUGGACACACCUCUGGUGUAUCGGUUGUCACGCCAGUGGCAUUGCCGAGUAGCUAAGUGUGGAAGAGAUAACCGCUGAAAGCAUCUAAGCGGGAAACUCGUUUCAAGAUGAGAUCUGCCGGGGCCUUGAGCCCCCUGAAGAGUCGUUCAAGACCAGGACGUUGAUAGGUCGGGUGUGGAAGCGCAGUAAUGCGUUAAGCUAACCGAUACUAAUUGCUCGUGCGGCUUGACCCU